UUGAGAUUGGAGUUUCAGCUUUGAAGUGUCAAGCCAAUGGUGCUGCUAUAGAGGAGUUGCAGCUUGGAGUUACAUCCGGACUGAUGGUGUUGUAGUUUUGAGACUCCCUCUCAAGAUGGGCAUGUAUGUUUAAUGUGCCCAUCUUGGAUAACAGAAAAUGGAAUGUAGUAGCAAAUAAAGCUUUGGUAAAUAUAUCUGCUAACUGAAAUUUUGAAGCAAUGUGGACUAGUUUAAGAACACUAGCAAACACCUUUUCCCUGACAAAGUGACAGUCCAGCUCUGUGCUUAGUCCUCUCAUGAAAAACCGGAUUUCCAGUGAGAUGUAGUGCUGCCUGAUUAUCACAAUAUAGGAGUGCAGGUUGUGGAUGGUUUCUUUUGAAAUCUUUCAACAAGGUAAUCAACCAAACAAUCUCACAACUCAUAUGAGCUAAUGCCCUGUACUCUGCUUCUGCAGAAGAUCGAGAAAUAGUGGCAUGUUUCCUGGAUUUCCAGCUAACUAGAGAAUCUCCAAUAAAAAUGCAGAAACCAGUGACUGAUCUUCUGGUUUCUGGACAUGCUGCCCAGUCUGAAUCACUAUAUGCCUUAAGGCGCAGAGGAGAUUGAGAAGAGAAGAAAAUACCUUGACCUAUGGAUCCCUUUAGAUAUUUCAGAAUUAUGUGAGCUGCAAGUAGAUGAAUUUGUGUUGACUUGUCCAUGAAUUGGCUCAGAACAUUGAUAGCAUAUGUUAUGUCUGGUCUAGUGAUUGUCAGAUAGAUGAGUCUCCCAAUCAAUCUUCUAUAGUUUGUAACAUCAACCAGUAAAUCUUUGGAUGAGUGUGAUAACUUCUGAUUGGAUUCUAUUGGAGUUGUGAUCGAUUUGCUGCCGAGAAGCCCAGCCUCUUCAAGGAUUUCAAGAGUGUAUUUUCUUUGGUAUAAAUGAAUACCAGCAACUGAUCUUGCAAUCUCUAGUUCCAAAAAAAUAUUUCAGAACUCCUAAAUCCUUGAUCUUGAAUUGAGAGUGUAAAUAUGCUUUGAUAGAGUCAAUAGCUAUCAAGUUGUUGCUGCCUACAAUGAUAUCAUCUACAUAAACUAUAAGAACUAUAAAACCAUGCUCAUCACUUCUUGUGAAUAAGGAAUAAUCAAAUUUGGACUAUUGAAAACUAAUGGCAGUGAGAGAAGAGAAGAAUUUUAAAUACCAUUGCCGAGAGGCUUGCUUGAGGCCAUAGAUAGAUUUAUGUAAUCUGCGUACUGAUUUCCUAUUGGAUGACUCUCCCUUAAUCUAAAAACCCGAAGGUAAUUCCAUAUAUAUUUCUUCAUCUAGAUCACCAGGAAGAAAUGCAUUGUGGACAUCCAAUUGACAUAAAUGUCACUUGUAUCUUGCUGCUAAAGCAAGAAAUACCCUGAUGGUUGUGAGUUUGGCUACAGGGCUGAAGGUUUCUUGGUAAUCAAAGCCUUCCCUUUGUGUGUAACCUUUAGUUACCAACCUUGCUUUAUAUCUCUCAAUUGUCCCAUCUAAAAUUAACUUGAUUUUGUAGACAUAUUUGCAACCUGCUGUUGUUUUCCCUGGAGGUAAAGUAGUGAUGGUCCAUGUUCUAUUGGCCUCUAGAGCAUCUAUUUCAACCCUCAUUGCAUCUCUCCAAUGUUGAAAGACUCCAGCUUCAUUAUAGAUUGUAGGUUCUUUGGUUAAAGAGAGAGUGUGUGUAGGCUUUGUGAGAUGGAGAAAGAUGGUCAUAGGAUAAGUGCUUAUGUAGAGGGUGGAUAGUGGAAAUGAUAAUUUGGUUGUUCAAUUGGUGUAGUAGUGACUAAUUUGCAGUGAUAAUUCUUUAAAUAGUUUGGUGGAUGUCUGACCCUGUUAGACCUCCUAAGAGGGAUCAUAGAAACAUUAGGGUUAUGGGACUCAUUAAGAAAGGGUGAUUCAGUUGGCAUGACUGAGUUUGGACACACAAAAGGUGACACGGCUAAGUAUACACAUGCUGAAGGUGGCACAGCUGAAUCUGCACAUGCAAGGGAAGAACUAGGUGCUGGAGAGUGAGGUAAAGGGUUGGUGGUUUCUGUCUGAGUGGGAUAGGCUGAUACAUGAGUAUCUGGUAAAGCUGGAGGUAGAACCAGAUCUGAUGAAGAUGGAGAAAAUUCAGGGACUUUUGUGUUAGAAUUCUGAAAAGAAAAUGUGGAUUCAUGGAAGAUGACAUUCCUUGGAAAUGAAAUAUUACUGAUUUUCUAAGUCAUAGACUUGGUAGCCUUUAACCUCUGCUGGAUGCCCAAGAAAAAUGUAUUUUCUGGCUCGAGGAUCAAACUUGGUUUGGUUAUGCUUGAGAGUGGAAACAAAGCAUAAACACCCAAAAACUCUUAAAUGGGUGUAAGAAGGAGUGGAAGAAAAAGAGCUUCAUAAGGUGACUUCUUGUUGAGAAUUGGAGUGGGUGUCCUAUUGAUCAAAUAAGUGGCUGUUAGGACAGCAUCUCCCCAAAACUUGAUUGGAAGAGAUGCUUGAAAAAGAAGAGCUCUAGCAACAUUGAGGAGGUGUUGAUGUUUUCUUUCAACAAUUUUAUUUUGUUGUGGAGUAUAAACCCAAGUCUUUUGGUGUAUAAUCCCAUUGGAAUUAUAAAAUUCAGACAUCUAAAAUUCCACACCAUUAUCAGUUCUGACUUGUUUUACUUUGGCAUUAAAUUAGGUUUGGACCAUACAAAUAAAGGACUGCAUGAGAGAUCUUAUUUUAGAUUUAUGUUUCAUGAGGUACAACCAAGUUACUGUUAGGAGUAUGCCCUAGAAGCCAAUUUGGUAGACACAUUGUAAUUGUUCUAGAGGCAUGAAAUUUGUAUUUGAUCUUCUAUUAAUUAAUAAAAUAAGGCAUUUUGUUCAUUCAUGUUAUUAUGUGUCCAUGAAUCGUCCUAGGAAUUAAUAAAAUAAUAACACAUACUCUCAAGAGUUGAGAAUUUAAGGCAUGUGUAAUUAAUAGCUAAUUUCUGAAUUGCUUCUGAUUGAUGGAUUAUCACAAAGGACGGUGAUCGAUCCGAUGAGAUUAGUGCAUAGAUCUCUUUCCUUGAUGGACGAGUCUUAAGUCCAUAGUGUGGGGACACCGGUGUGAUUGUGCAAGUGUUUGUUAGAGAACAAGGGUACUAAGCGUGACCAAAGCAAGAAGUCACUUGGAUGUCUAUCCGCUCGUCAGUGACUUACUUGAUGCUGCAGUUGUAUGACUAGUACUUAGACCUGCGAUGCCUCAGCUAAUCACGGUGAGGUUGUUGUAGUUUGACGAGCACAUAAGCAUGGACCCUAAGGAUCCUUAUAGUGUAGAUUGGUUGUAGUACGUUCGCUGUCGGAUUAGGAUUGCAUCUAAAUGGGAUCUAUCGAUCUUGAUAGAUUAGGAGUGAUCCUAUGUGAUUUAUGAGACUAAGUUCGAAAGACCUUGGCCAGAGCAGUUCUGAAAAAUGAGUUUUCCAAUCUCGAACUUGAGUCAAAUAAAUUUAACAUAAGACAGACGAUCGGGUUUGACGAGUUAUCCAUAACCUUCGUCAUGUCGAGAUCCAUGAUAGAGGUACUGUAUCAUACGCUAACUGCACCUAAAGGUUCAUCCAUUCUGUUCUGUUGAGUUGUUACUAUAUGCUACUAGGUGUCACUAGUGGAUUGUGAGACUUGAAGACAUUCACUUGGUGAUCAGUGAACCCUAAGAGUAGAGUUGAAAUCGUUUCAACCUAUUGAAAGGAGUUUCGAUGAUAUUAUGAUAGAGAUCAUAAUAUAUCUCACUAUCAGUCAGAAUAGAACCUACGGAAUCACACACAUUAGAGGUUUUGAUCGUUUCGAUGGUUGGAUAACGAUUUAGAAUCGCAAUUGAUCUUGAUGUCAAUUUGAUUGACAAUUAGAGUUAGUGAAUUAAAGAAGAAAGAUUUACAAUUGGAUUGCAAUUUAAUUGAUUUAAUUGGACCUAAUUAAAUUAGGCUUAACCUUAUUGGACAAGGAUGGGAAGGACUAAUUAAUUAGAACUCCUUAUUAGACAAGAAACUUAAUUCAUGAAGUCCAAUUUGGAUCCUAAUUAGAUUAGGAUUUCCAUAAAUCAAUUUGGAGGACACAUUGGGUUCUAAUUGGAUUAAAAUUUAAUUGAUCAAAUGGGACCAUAUAAUUCCUAAUUGGAUUAGGAGACCCAUGCAUAGAAGGAAGG
RNAcentral lists this long non-coding RNA (4128 nucleotides) under Phoenix dactylifera (date palm). RNAcentral's name for it is "long non-coding RNA (PDAC_LNC007709)". The record is from RNAcentral. Lineage: Eukaryota; Viridiplantae; Streptophyta; Magnoliopsida; Arecales; Arecaceae.